ACAGGGAUAACUGGCUUGUGGCAGCCA
RNAcentral lists this non-coding RNA (27 nucleotides) under Arabidopsis thaliana (thale cress). The record is from RNAcentral. Lineage: Eukaryota; Viridiplantae; Streptophyta; Magnoliopsida; Brassicales; Brassicaceae. RNAcentral also lists the same sequence under 2 other names.